Molecule: long non-coding RNA, 989 nt
Filed under: Nilaparvata lugens (brown planthopper)
Lineage: Eukaryota; Metazoa; Arthropoda; Insecta; Hemiptera; Delphacidae
Description: uncharacterized LOC120356525
Source: RNAcentral
UUCCAGGCCCCCUUACUUUCCUCCAAUCUUCCUUCAACCUGUUACCGUCCAUCUCACGCCUGCGUCGACCCGAUCUCCCUCUUGGCCUUGGCCACUUGUAUCUUGGUUCACGCCUUCCGUACAAUCACGCGUCUCGCGCAGCUCUUUGGAUGGCUGAUGCCUUAUCCCGUCGCUGGAUUCGGUGACGGAACAUUCGCGGACUCCUUUUAUUUCUCGUGCCAAUAAGAAUAUCCCAACUUAUUCCCUUGACCGUCCCAUUCGAUUCACUCAUUGAAUUGAACCCCACCUUCGGAACCAUCGAGCUCCGUUGUCUGCCGGACCCGCCAAAUACUCCCUCCGCGUCGGUCGUCAUACGCAAGCCUUGGCCUUAUCAGCCCACCUCGCUCACCUCCCGUUAAUUUGGCUCGCCCUAGCUGUCGUGUCUGACGACCACGACGCGCUGUCAGUUGGCUCUCAAGCCAAUGGGAAGCAUCAUGGAACACUCUGAUUCCACUGUCUCGACCACACCCUCCGACACCAUCGAGCCCGUUCUCCACAUCCCGUACCUACGCGUCCACCUCUACCGAGUCGUAAAAGCAGCGGCCCCCUUGCUGUUCACAGAGACAGCUCAGCUGUCGGUCCCAUCGAUGCCCAGUUUGGGCCUGACGACGCGAGGGCGAUGAGCCCCCGGCGUACAAGCGAAGACAUUGAUAAGAUGGGCAAAGAAGCCAGAGCAGAACUUCACAGACAUGCUCAGGCACUUCAAGAGUCCCUAUAAACAUAUUUAAUCGUAUUGAAGCCGUACGCGAAGAGCACGACAAGCUCGAUAAUAACAACAAGUUCCUACAAAAAUACAUUGGAGAUCUAAUGCACACCAGCAAAAUCACCGCGUCAGGCAGUCGAGGCCGUAAAUGAAAUCAUUGCAUGAAAAUUGAUGCCGGCUGUCCCAAUACCAAAUAGAACCAUGGCUGCAGACGAAAAAUAAAAAACGACAGUUUUACGCCCCCCGG